RNAcentral lists this ribosomal RNA (242 nucleotides) under uncultured bacterium. RNAcentral's name for it is "partial 16S ribosomal RNA". It matches the Rfam family "Bacterial small subunit ribosomal RNA", at positions 28 to 269 of the family's 1533-position model. The record is from RNAcentral.
GACGAACGCUGGCGGCGUGCUUAACACAUGCAAGUCGAGCGGUAAGGCCCUUUCGGGGGUACGACGAGCGGCGAACGGGUGAGUAACACGUGGGUGACCUGCCCUCAGCUCUGGGAUAAGCCUGGGAAGGCCGGGUCUAAUACCGGAUAUGACUCCAUGACGCAUGUUGUGGGGUGGAAAGCCUUGUGCGGCUGAGGAUGGGCCCGCGGCCUAUCAGCUUGUUGGUGGGGGGAUGGCCUACC